Molecule: ribosomal RNA, 393 nt
Filed under: Labyrinthulaceae sp.
Lineage: Eukaryota; Bigyra; Labyrinthulida; Labyrinthulaceae
Description: partial small subunit ribosomal RNA
Rfam family: Eukaryotic small subunit ribosomal RNA
Source: RNAcentral
AUUCCAGCUCCAAUAGCGUAUAUUAAAGUUGUUGCAGUUAAAAAGCUCGUAUUUGAAUUUUUGUCUGUUGGGGCCUUGUUCUGUCCUUAGUGGCGGAGUUUAGUGUCCCGACGGACUUCCUGGGGGCCAACUAGUUGGUGUUUCAUUACACUGAUUAGGGAACCCCCUCGUUUACUGUGAAAAAAUUAGAGUGUUUCAAGCAGGCGUUUCGCAUUGAAUACAUUAGCAUGGAAUAAUAAGAUAGGACUUUGGUGCUAUUUUGUUGGUUUGCACACCAAGGUAAUGAUUAAGAGGGACAGUUGGGGGUAUUCGCAUUAUCAUGUCAGAGGUGAAAUUCUUGGAUUUUGGUAAGACGAACUACUGCGAAAGCAUUUACCAAGGAUGUUUUCAUUA